Molecule: non-coding RNA, 29 nt
Filed under: Macaca fascicularis (crab-eating macaque)
Lineage: Eukaryota; Metazoa; Chordata; Mammalia; Primates; Cercopithecidae
Also listed under: 1 other name
Source: RNAcentral
UCUACAUCUGAGUGCCCCCCAAACCCAGC